CAUCCAAAACCCUCGCUCCCGCUCCGCUGACCAUGGCGCCGCCGCGGGAGCCGACGGCGGGCGACGUCACCGACUCGCUCGCGCCGGAGCUCCUCUCCGAGAUCCUCCUCCGCCUCCCGCCGGACGACCCGGGGCACCUCUUCCGCGCCUCCCUCGUCUGCAAGGCGUGGCUCCGCGCCGUCUGCGACCCCUGCUUCCUCCGCCGCUACCGCGCCUUCCACGGCUCCCCGCCGCUGCUCGGCCUCCUCCACAGGCUCCAGGUCUUGCAGGGGGACCCCGCCCCGCGCCUCGCCCGCACCACCGCCGUGCCCCUCUCCCCCGACCCCGCCUUCCGCCGCGCCCUCGACUGCCACCAUGGCCGCGUCCUCCUCCACGCCUCCGACGACGACUGGUACUUCAUCGUGUGGGACCCCGUCACGGGCGAGCAGCACCGCCUGCCGGAGCCCGGCAUCCCGUGGCUCAUCUACUCCGCCGCAGUGUUCUGCCCAGUGGGUGGCUGUGAUCACCUCGACUGCCAUGGCGGUCCCUUCCGAGUGGUCUUCGUCGCCACCGACGAUGAUGACGAGCUCGUUAAGGCGACCGUGUACUCGUCGGAGUCGGGUGCGUGGAGCACACCAAUCAUUCUUGAUUAUGUAAGCCCACAACAGCGUCUGCAAGACAUCUAUAGCGGUGAAUUGUUUGCGCCGUAUGUCCUGCCUAGGCGAGGUGCCCUCGUCGGAGAUGUAAUCUACUUCACACUUCGGAAGAAAGACAGUACAAUCAUUGAGUACAACUGGAACAUGAACUGCAUAUCUAAGAUUGAUGGGCCCGCGCGAGAUGUGUACGCCGUGGCCCUCAUGGAGAUGGAGAAUGGUUCACUGGGGUUUGCCUGCAUUCAGGGUUCCAGCCUUUAUGUGUGGUCGAGGAAGGUGAAUUCAGAAGGGGCUGCAGAAUGGGUACAAUGCUGGGUCAUCGAGCUGGAGAAAAUGAUACCCGUUGCCAAUGGCGAUCGUAAACCAUUUGUGGUUGGCUCUGCAGAGGGUCUGGGUCUCGUCUUCGUGAGCACGGGUGUUGGCUUAUUCACGAUCGAGCUCAAGUCAAAGCAGGUGAAGAAGGUUGAAGAGCCUGGGGUCUACUAUAGUGUCUUACCCUACAUGAGCUUCUACACUCCUGAUUGUGGCAUAUUAUCAUCGCUAGCGAGGACUUGCUGAUCUUUGAUGUCAAGCUCAAGAGCAACAUUUUGCAAAAUGGACAAAUCCAUCAUCUUGAUUCUGCUGCCAUUGACUUCUUACAGAGCUACUACUAUGAACUCAUCUAUUUUCUGGUUGGUAGUACAAUUAUGAACAAUGCAAGUCAAUGUGGUUGUCGUGUUGAAUUCAUUCUACCAAUCAUGAAGGCACUAGCUAUAUUCAGUUUAAUAGGCUUGGCAUCUUUCAGCUACUGUUUGGUUUUAUGUUGGGCCCAGGUGUUUAUAGGACUUGGGCGUCUUCUGUUGAACUGGCAGAACAUAUUCCGGUAUGGUUCUCUGAGCACAAGAAAGAUGUUGAAACCAGGAGGUUCAGCUGAAAGAGGUAGUAACACAGAAAUUGGACGAGGCAACUGGGAUUUCUGCAUGCCCUGUUAUGAAAUGUUAGGAUAUUAUCUUCCAUUCUGUCUAAAAAUAUGUUUGUUGCAAUGCAGGUUCCUAAGCUUAGAAAAGAUUACAUUGAUGGGGUUUCUGUCCAGCUGAUUUGGAAGAGAAACUUGCUUUUGGAAGAUUACAUUAAUGAGGUUUCUGCCUGUUCCAAUGAUUUAGGAGCUUAAGGAGACCGCACCUUGCAUUUUGUAAACAAAUUAGGUAAAGUAGCUGGCUGUAUUUGUUGGCUUGUGCACAUUUGGUUUCGGAAUUGUAUUUGUGUAACCAAUCCAUGUUGGUUGUAAUUACUUUGUGAUGUAUAUAUGAUGUUUGGCGCACAAACCAGAUUGUACUGCUGCUGUAAAUUAUUUCUACAGAUUGUGUGAUGACAUGUGUGAUAGCAUGAAAGAAUAUAA
Oryza brachyantha (malo sina) is the source of this 2010-nucleotide RNA transcript. RefSeq lists it as uncharacterized. The transcript has 4 exons. The record is from RefSeq and is a predicted model, not a curated record. NCBI's taxonomy places the organism in Eukaryota, Viridiplantae, Streptophyta, Magnoliopsida, Poales, Poaceae.